GGUAAAAUGGCUGAGGUGAAGCAUUGAACUGUAAAUUCAAAGACAGAGAUAAUAUCUCUUUUUACCA
This 67-nucleotide transfer RNA is filed under the name Notoryctes typhlops (marsupial mole). RNAcentral describes it as "transfer RNA-Tyr". It matches the Rfam family "tRNA". Rfam says of the family: Transfer RNA (tRNA) molecules are approximately 80 nucleotides in length. The record is from RNAcentral. Lineage: Eukaryota; Metazoa; Chordata; Mammalia; Notoryctemorphia; Notoryctidae.